This is a long non-coding RNA of Macaca fascicularis (crab-eating macaque), 1631 nucleotides long. The record is from Ensembl. Lineage: Eukaryota; Metazoa; Chordata; Mammalia; Primates; Cercopithecidae.
CUGAGCUUUCUUUCUCACUGAACUGCGUCAUCAUUUUUUAAACAGAAUGCUAGAGGGCUGACUUUGAGUCUGACAGGCCCUGACCCAGGAAAUGAGCCCUGCUUGUGGGCAUCCCCUUCCUCAAGCCAGCCUACUCACCCCAAGCCCAGCUGCUGCUGCCCCAGGCGAGGGGAGGAUGCAGGACACAUGUGCAUUGUCUGGCCUUGGCAGCCCUCAGUCACUCAGAGAUAAAAAGGCGCAGGCAAGGGGAGGCCCUCAGCCCCACCUGGUCACUGCUUUUUGGACUCAUUCACCAAAAAAUCCAGGCAUGGGCUGCCCAUGGCCCAUGAGAGAUCUCCCCAGGAUGACCUGUGAGUACUGAAAAACAGAGAAAAGGUGUGUGCAGUUGCACCAGCUCACCAGCUUCAGUGCUGUCCCUUCCCAUCUUGCAGCUCAGGAAAUGUCCUCGAGGGAAGUUUAGCCCCGUGUACUUCGGAUUAGUUCCUGUCUCCUAAUUCAGCAGGAUGCCUGUGAACUAACCUUACUCGGAAGUCUCGCUUUGGUCAGCCAUGGUUCUAGAUUCUGGCAGCCAAAGGUCUGGGCAGGAGCUAGAUGCAGAACUGGGUGUGGCUGUUGCCACUGCUGGUCAGAUGGAGCAGUGCAGGUAUUCUGCAGAGAAGACAGCUACGUACCCACCUCCUGCCGGGCCAAAUCUCCAGCCCCCACUACGUGGCACUCCUGUUGGCCCACAACACAAAAGGUCAUGAAACAGGAAUGCAGAUGCAAAGCAGCUGGCCACGCCCUGGCAGCUCUGUACCACUCUGCCGGAAGUGGCCUGGGUGUGACAGUCAGAAGCAUCUCCUUGUUGUUCUAGACAGUUUAUCUCAGCAUCCCCUGACAUAGAAAAGGGAUUAAAAGUUUCUGUAAUACAGCUUCUACCAGGUGGCCCUCUCUGGAGUGAAGCUUUUCUAAACUAGCAGAAGGAAGUUCAUCUGACAAAAAAAGUGAAACGGUACUUCUUAUAUCGUCACCGAGCUGUCCUGCCAACAAAUUCACCUGACUGUACAGAAACACGUCUCUCCAGAAGUUUCUGUGACUGCUGCAGCCCCCCUGCCAUCGUCAGGGAAAUGUGUGAGAGAAACCAGCCCUUUCUGUUGUCACAGACACAUGCGCACCAUGCACAGAUGCUAGAAGGGGCCUGCAAGCUCUGCACAGGAGGAGGAAGUGGACCGCCGCAUGCUGCUCUGCUGCUCUAAGGGCGUAUUUUUGCUUUUUCAGCAACUGUGAGCAUAACUUGAAACUCGGUCUGAUUUUUCAGUGACUUCACACCCAUUUUUCAAUGACCACCCAUCCUGGGUUGCUCUGCUAUAAUUGCUCCUGCCACUAUGAAGCACCAGCCCAAACUUUGCCCAGCCAAAGGCCUGUCACCAAGUUGCAGGCCACAAGCCAAGCUCUGGUUAAGGUGGGUACCUGCAGGUGAUGGGCAGACAGCACCCAUGAAUGAUGAUCAGAGCUCAUGUGGCAACUUCUGGGCCCUCAGUCACCCCUCUGAUUCACUAGGCCAACUCUCAACCCUCUCCCUGCAGUCUGUGUCCACCAGGCGUCUCCUCAGGCUAGGACACUGGCCCUCCUGAAAAAAAAAAAAAAAAAAA